UAUUACUUCAAUCAAAAUCAGACUUUACCAUUUUCUUCGUUCUUAACUCACCUUCUCGUUCCAUACAACACAAUAAAGUAGAAUUCCAUUUUCAUGAAGCUGCUUAAGGAUCUUCCCCUACACAGACAUCACAAGGCUUUAUGAACCAAGGGGGUUAGCGCUGCUUUCCCAAGACGAGUUUAUGUGAUUAUGAUCUUCAGGCUUUGCCUAUCCAGGUUGGCUGGCCGGUGCUGACGGGACUGAGCUGAGGCUAAGGUUCAAUUUCUAUAUAGACUUCCGCUGUUGUAAUAACUCUUAUACAUCUUUUGUUUUCUCAACUUAAGAUGACUUCAUGUCGAGCUUCAAUUUAAAAUUUCUAGUUUCAAGUCAUUGAACGUCGGUUGUCAGAAACAUGAAACAAAACUUGUGAUCCAAAGGGGGCCUAGCCCGACUCGUUAUCUUAUUAUUCGGGUUUUAACAAGGUUGUUCCUUGUUUAUUUCUA
Molecule: long non-coding RNA, 482 nt
Organism: Salvia miltiorrhiza (redroot sage)
Lineage: Eukaryota; Viridiplantae; Streptophyta; Magnoliopsida; Lamiales; Lamiaceae
Exons: 3
Source: RefSeq, a predicted model, not a curated record